Molecule: ribosomal RNA, 493 nt
Filed under: Leisingera caerulea
Lineage: Bacteria; Pseudomonadati; Pseudomonadota; Alphaproteobacteria; Rhodobacterales; Roseobacteraceae
Description: bacterial SSU rRNA
Rfam family: Bacterial small subunit ribosomal RNA
Source: RNAcentral
AUGCCGCGUGUGUGAUGAAGGCCUUAGGGUCGUAAAGCACUUUCGCCUGUGAUGAUAAUGACUGUAGCAGGUAAAGAAACCCCGGCUAACUCCGUGCCAGCAGCCGCGGUAAUACGGAGGGGGUUAGCGUUGUUCGGAAUUACUGGGCGUAAAGCGCGCGUAGGCGGAUUGGAAAGUUGGGGGUGAAAUCCCGGGGCUCAACCCCGGAACUGCCUCCAAAACUCCCAGUCUAGAGGUCGAGAGAGGUGAGUGGAAUUCCGAGUGUAGAGGUGAAAUUCGUAGAUAUUCGGAGGAACACCAGUGGCGAAGGCGGCUCACUGGCUCGAUACUGACGCUGAGGUGCGAAAGUGUGGGGAGCAAACAGGAUUAGAUACCCUGGUAGUCCACACCGUAAACGAUGAAUGCCAGUCGUCGGGGAGCUUGCUCUUCGGUGACGCACCUAACGCUUUAAGCAUUCCGCCUGGGGAGUACGGUCGCAAGAUUAAAACUCAAG